This is an RNA transcript of Pipistrellus kuhlii (Kuhl's pipistrelle), 5502 nucleotides long. It is a transcript of the gene named multifunctional ROCO family signaling regulator 1, with no coding region annotated. The transcript is spliced from 4 exons. The record is from RefSeq and is a predicted model, not a curated record. Lineage: Eukaryota; Metazoa; Chordata; Mammalia; Chiroptera; Vespertilionidae.
GCGGAGGGCUGGUGGGGAGAGAGGAGCCAGAGGGACCCGGAGCCCGGCGCCCGCCCGGCAUGGAGCUGUGAGCGAGGCUGUCUGUGGGCCCGGGGCCCCGCCAUGGCCGGGAAGGACGGCGGGAACCUGAAGACGGUGCGGCUGUGGCGGGACGCCGCCCUGCGCGCCAGGAAGCUGCGGAGCAACCUGCGCCAGCUCACCCUUAGCUGCCCGGGGGUCGGGGCCGAUCCGAUCGACGACUCCCCCGACAGCUCCCCCCCGCAGCUCGUGCUGCCGGCCAACCUCGGGGACGUUGAGGUGCUGAACCUGGGGAACAACGGCCUGGAGGAGGUGCCCGAGGGGCUGGGCUCGGCGCUGGGCAGCCUGCGCGUCCUGGUCCUGCGGAGGAACCGCUUUGCCAGGCUGCCCCCGGCGGUGGCCGAGCUGGGCCACCACCUCACCGAGCUGGACGUGAGCCACAACCGGCUGGCGGCCCUGGGCGCCGAGGUGCUGAGCGCCCUGCGCGAGCUGCGCAAGCUGAACCUCAGCCACAACCAGCUGCCCGCCCUGCCCGCCCAGCUGGGCGCGCUGGCCCACCUGGAGGAGCUGGACGUCAGCUUCAACCGCCUGGCGCACCUGCCCGACUCCCUGUCCUGCCUCUGCCGCCUGCGCACCCUGGACGUGGACCACAACCAGCUCACUGCGUUCCCGGGCCAGCUGCUGCAGUUGGCUGCCCUGGAGGAGCUGGACGUGUCCAGCAACCGGCUCCGAGGCCUCCCGGAGGGUAUCAGUGCCCUGCGUGCCCUCAAGAUCCUCUGGCUGAGCGGGGCCGAGCUUGGCACGCUGCCCGAGGGCUUCUGUGAGCUGGCCAGCCUGGAGAGCCUCAUGCUGGACAACAACAGGCUGCAGGCCCUGCCCGCCCAGUUCAGCCGCCUGCAGAGGCUCAAAAUGCUCAACCUGUCCUCCAACCUCUUCGAGGAGUUCCCCGCCGCGCUGCUGCCCCUGGCCGGCCUGGAAGAGCUCUACCUGAGCCGCAACCAGCUCACCUCGGUGCCCUCCCUCAUCUCGGGCCUGGGCCGGCUCCUCACCCUGUGGCUGGACAACAACCGGAUCCGCUACCUGCCGGACGCCAUCGUGGAGCUGACGGGCCUGGAGGAGCUGGUGCUGCAGGGCAACCAGAUCGCCGUGCUGCCCGACAACUUCGGCCAGCUCUCCCGCGUGGGCCUGUGGAAGAUCAAGGACAACCCACUGAUCCAGCCGCCCUACGAGGUCUGCAUGAAGGGGAUCCCCUACAUCGCGGCCUACCAGAAGGAGCUGGCCCACUCCCAGCCGGCCGUGCAGCCGCGCCUCAAGCUGCUCCUCAUGGGCCACAAGGCUGCGGGGAAGACCUUGCUCCGCCACUGCCUCACGGAGGACCGGGUGGAGGCUUCCGGCGAAGGAGGCGACCAGGAGAAGGGCUACUCGCCGCCUCCACCGCCGCCGCCGCCGCCGCCACCUCCCGCGAGCAAGGGCAUCGAGGUGACCAGCUGGACGGCCGACGCCUCCCGGGGCCUGCGGUUCAUUGUGUACGACCUGGCCGGGGACGAGAGUUACGAGGUGAUCCAGCCCUUCUUCCUCUCCCCGGGGGCCCUGUACAUGCUGGUGGUGAACCUGGCCACCUACGAGCCCCCGCGGUUUCCCACCACCGUGGGCUCCUUCCUGCACCGCGUGGGGGCCCGCGUGCCGCACGCCGUGGUGUGCAUCGUGGGCACGCACGCGGACCUGUGCGCGGAGAGGGAGCUGGAGGAGAAGUGCCUGGACAUCCACCGCCAGAUCGCCCUGCAGGAGAAGCGCGACGCCGAGGGCCUGAGCCGCCUGGCCCGGGUGGUGGACGAGGCGCUGGCCCGCGACUUCGAGCUGCGCUCCGCCAGCCCGCACGCGGCUUACUACGGCGUCUCGGACAAGAACCUCCGGCGGCGCAAGGCGCACUUCCAGUACCUGCUCAACCACCGGCUGCAGAUCCUCUCCCCGGUGCUGCCCGUGAGCUGCAGGGACCCCCGCCAGCUGCAGCGCCUCCGGGACAAGCUGCUGUCGGUCGCCGAGCACCGGGAGAUCUUCCCCAACCUGCACCGAGUGCUGCCUCGGUCCUGGCAGGUGCUGGAGGAGCUGCAUUUCCAGCCCCCGCAGGCGCAGCGGCUUUGGCUGAGCUGGUGGGACUCGGCGCGCCUGGGCCUGCAGGCUGGCCUGACGGAGGACCGGCUGCAGAGCGCCCUGUCCUACCUGCACGAGAGCGGCAAGCUGCUCUACUUCGAGGACAGCCCGGCCCUCAAGGAGCACGUCUUCCACAACCUCAGCCGCCUCAUCGACAUCCUCAACGUCUUCUUCCAGAGGGAUCCUUCCCUGCUGCUGCACAAGCUGCUCGCCGGGACCAGCGGAGAGGGCGAGGGAGACGGGGAGAGCUCCCUGGUGAUGGCCGUGCCACCGCCGCCGCCGCCGCAGCUGAGCCAGGACCUGCUCCGGGCCACCCAGCUCCACCAUUACGUGGAGGGCUUCCUGCUUCACGGGCUCCUGCCGGCCCACGCCAUUCGGCUGCUGCUGAAGCCUCACGUCCAGGCCCAGCAGGACCUGCAGCUGCUGCUGGAGCUGCUGGAGAAGAUGGGGCUCUGCUACUGCCUCAACAAACCCAAGGGCAAGCCCCUGAACGGCUCCACCGCCUGGUACAAGUUCCCCUGCUACGUGCAGAACGAGGUGCCCCACGCCGAGGCCUGGAUUAACGGGACCAACCUGGCCGGGCAGUCCUUUGUGGCCGAGCAGUUGCAGAUUGAGUACAGUUUCCCCUUCACCUUCCCGCCGGGGCUGUUUGCACGCUACAGUGUCCAGAUCAACAGCCACGUGGUGCAGAGGUCGGACGGGAAGCUUCAGAUCUUCGCCUACCGAGGGAAGGUCCCUGUGGUGGUGAGCUACAGACCGGCCAAGGGGGCCCUGCAGCCAGAUACCCUGUCCAUCGCCAGCCACGCCUCGUUGCCGAACAUAUGGACGGCAUGGCAAGCCAUCACCCCCUUGGUGGAAGAACUGAACGUCCUGCUUCAGGAAUGGCCUGGACUGCACUACACCGUGCACAUCCUCUGUUCUAAGUGCCUUAAGAGAGGGUCGCCCAAUCCACACGCUUUCCCAGGGGAGCUGCUGAGCCAGCCCAGACCCGAAGGAGUGGCGGAGAUCAUUUGCCCCAAGAACGGCAGUGAGCGAGUGAAUGUUGCCUUGGUUUACCCACCUACGCCGACUGUGAUCAGCCCCUGUUCCAAGUAUCUCCAUCCUUUCUUGGAAAAUUAAGUGGAAAAGAUAGUGCUCCUUUCCCCCAUGCCACCAUUUUUACUGUGCCCACUCUGACUUUAGGAGCACCAGUGUUUAAGGGAAGAACGUUGGUGAAAAGCACAGAAACCAGUGACCUUUAUUGCUGUGGAAUUUCCGUGAAGAGACGCACCCAGACCAUGCUUCGUACCUGGUAACCCUCCACACUCCCAUUGUGUCCUGAACUUGGGGGCAUGGCUCAGGGUGCCCUCAGAGGAGGGAGCACGCCUGGCCUGCAGACAAGCUGGCGGAGGGCUAGGGGAAAGUCGGGGGAGAAAGACUGUGGAGCAAGUGUUUUACAACCUGAACCUCAGAACUGUGAUCCUCCAAGGAGAGCGCUACUUGAAGAAAAGACAAAAAAAAAAAAAAGUCAAAUGGCUUCUCAGGGAUUUUGUUUUCUGUGCACAUAUAAGCCAUAGUUCCAGCGCAGGUGGCAGUAGUUAGAGCACUCAGAUUUCAGUUCUGUCCAGUUGUGACCGAGGGCGCGCCCUACCAUGCAUUGCUGUUCCGUAUAAACUAGUGUAAAAUAUGUACAUGUUUAUCUUUAUUUUUAUAAUAUGCAAAUACAUUUAAAUUUAUACAGUGGGAAGCUUCUAGCAUUAGUUAACACUGGGUGCAAUAUUCGCAUGAGAACUGUGCCAAGAUGGGACUGGCUUCUUAUUUUAGCAAAAGACCUUUCUGUUCAUUCUUUAUUCUGUAAUCCAUUGCAGAUUAAAAAAAAAAAAAAAAAAAAAAAAAGGAAAAAGAUACCUGUCUGCCAUGGGUUAAGGGUUGGUUGGUAGAGAUUGCCAAUGGUCUAUCAGGUACACACAGGCACUGCCUCCUCUCCUUCUAAUGAAAGGUCCUGCCUGUGAGCUGCCACGUGUCACUACUGCCGAGCACAGUGUUCCUCGCUGGCCAUCUAUGGUCAAUGGUGAUUUGGAGGUCUGGGGUCAGGGUUCUUCAGCAGAGGAGGCCGAAGUGUUAGCGAGUCCAUUGAGAACCUGGAUCUUUCUUCAAAAAAUUAAAAAAAAAAUUUUUUUUAAAUUGAUUUCAGAGAGGAAGGGAGAGAGAGAGAAACAUCAUUGAUGCAACAAAAUCACUGAUCUGCUGCCUCCUGCACGCCCUCUACUGGGGAGGAAUCCCGCAACCCAGGCAUGUGCCCUGCUCAGGAAUAGACACAUGACCUCCUGGUUCAUGGGUUGACGCUCAGCCACUGAGCCACCCUGGCAGGGCCUGAGUCUUUCAGUAGCUUUUAAGAUAGUCAGGAGUCAGGUCUGAAACAUGCAGAGACCCCUUGGAGUGAGUGCUCUCUUUUCUGGAACAGCGUCUGUGAAACUGAGCAGAGCACUUGGCAAGCCUCCACAUCUGGCUGUCAGGCCUGCAGAGAGUCAGUGGCCUAAUUGGAGAGCGUAAUCCCCCCAUUGGUUAUUUAUAAACACAGAGCCUCUGAUUGGUCGGUCUCCUGCCAAGAACUAGUAAAACUUGUUUUAAAAUCUCCAGGAAGCAAAACUUAAAAAAAAAAAAAAAAAAAAGCAAACCCAACAAAUUGCUUUCCCUUCGAUUCCUAAUUGAGGCCACGCAGCAUCUGCUGCCGUAGUAACACCUUCUAGUCGGAGGGAUGUGAGGGACCAUUUGCAUCUGCCUCCUCUGCAUGCUGAUCGAAAAUGUGAGAGACUGUUCCCACCAGUGCGAGGCAGGAAAAGUGAAUCAGCUGGUCAUAUUCUUUCAUAAAGUAUUAACUCUUGGAAUGCCACAGGCCACAAAGUCUCAGCAGGCACGCGGCUGCAUCACAGAAAAACCACACGCCAAUUUCUGUGGGCUAUUUUGUGCCCCAGGAGUUAACUUUACCAAUUCCAGAAUCUCUGGUUAAACAAGGGUGAUUUCUUCUGAUCAGAAAACCACGUGGAAUCAGGCUGUUUCUCCGUUUUUAAAUACUUGAAUGUGACCCCUCGAAAUUGAGAUUUUGCUCUCUUUGGAACAGUCACAAAAUCAGUCUGGUUGAGCCUUUUGUCACAGUUCUCGUGCGUGUGCAUGGGCGUGUGUGCGUGUGUAAGUGUCAACCGAAUGCUAAUGUUUAAUUGCUUCAUGGACCAUUGAAUCGUAAAAGUUUCCAAUUGGCACGAGACAGUUCUUAAACUGUCAAAGUGAUGGAUUUUUGUAAAGACUCUUAAGCGUGUGACUUGGAGCUAAUUCUCCAGGGAAUCAUAUUAAAUG